UUGCAGUCAAUGAAGCCGACUAGGUUCCUCUGCUGGUGGGUGCCCAGUGCAGUGGCUGCAAACAGCAACCUCCUGGGUAGCUUACACAACCUGUUGCUUGUAUGUGGUGCCCUAAGGGACCUUGGAGAUAUUG
This is a small nucleolar RNA of Heterocephalus glaber (naked mole-rat), 133 nucleotides long. Its record names the gene SNORA70. It matches the Rfam family "Small nucleolar RNA SNORA70". From Rfam's summary of the family: snoRNA U70 seems to be exclusive to mammals and is a member of the H/ACA class of snoRNA which contain H (ANANNA) and ACA box motifs. H/ACA box snoRNAs are involved in the conversion of uridines to pseudouridines (5-ribosyluracil) a constituent of structural RNAs (transfer, ribosomal, small nuclear, and small nucleolar). The record is from Ensembl. Lineage: Eukaryota; Metazoa; Chordata; Mammalia; Rodentia; Bathyergidae.